This 860-nucleotide long non-coding RNA is filed under the name Mytilus galloprovincialis (Mediterranean mussel). Lineage: Eukaryota; Metazoa; Mollusca; Bivalvia; Mytilida; Mytilidae. The record is from RNAcentral.
GACAACGGUCAACGUGAUGAAUUAUGAUUAAUUUAUUUUAGGUUCAGUGAUAUUUAUCUGUUGUACUCAUUGUGUUUUAUAACUGAGAAAGCUUUUUAUGAUAAAACAUAUAUGUUAAAGGCACAAGGACUACAAUGUACUUGCAGGAUGUAUUUGAUCGAGUGGUAAUUUGAAUUAUAUGUAAAUAGGAAUAAUGUUGGACCCCAAGCCAAUAUAAACUUAUCUUACUUAAAGUAUUCAAAUUCUUUUUAAUAAAAAACGCAUAUGCAAUCUAGUUUUCAAUGAGAAACUAGUGUAUUGAACAUAAUUAGCGAGAUUUAUUGUUACGCACGUUUGUCAAACGAAUGUUCUGAUAUCGAGAAAUAAGAAAGGUAUAACUUUGAAGAAUUUGAAUAUAUAAGUUUAACUCCUCAAAAGAACAUAAAAUCAAACCUAAAUCUUGUUGUCCAGAUUUUUGAAAUAACAUGAUUGUCGUUUUUCAUUUGUCAAUUCGGGGCUUUUAAUAGUUAACUAUGCGGUUUGGGUUUUGCUCGGCAUUGUAGAAUGCCGGACGUUGACUUAUAAUUUUUAAUUUCUGUGAAUUUUGGUCACAUGUAGACAGCUGAGAGUUGUUAAUAAUACCACAUCUUCUAAUCUAUAUAUAAACACUUAAAAAAAGCAGGAAAUCCAACCUAAACCAUGUUAUCCAGGAUUUUGUAAUGAUAUGUGAUAUGGUUAAUUAUGCACAAAAAAAGCAAAACAAAUUGACAGCUAUAAAAAAAUACAACUAUUAUUCUUCGUUUUGCACUAAAAGUUUGAGCCUAAUGUAUUUACUGUCUUGAUAUAGAUUCGAUAUUUCGAAUUUAAAAUAUUAAAACGCA